ACCUACGGGACGCAGCAGUGGGGAAUAUUGGGCAAUGGGCGCAAGCCUUACCCAGCAAUACCGCGUGAGUGAAGAAGGUCUUCGGAUUGUAAAGCUCUUUGAUCAUUGACGAACAUAUGACGGUACCUGAAGAACAAGCCCCGUCUAACUACGUGCCAGCAGCCGCGGUAAAACUUCUGUGGCGAGCGUUGUCCGGAAUUACUUGGCGUAAAUUUUUCGUAGGCGGCAUAAUAAGUUAGCAGUGAAAUACCCAGAGCU
This 258-nucleotide ribosomal RNA is filed under the name uncultured bacterium. RNAcentral describes it as "partial 16S ribosomal RNA". It matches the Rfam family "Bacterial small subunit ribosomal RNA", at positions 337 to 609 of the family's 1533-position model. The record is from RNAcentral.